CCCCACACCCCCCAGGGAAUCAUCCUUACCCCCAAAGUCCUCAUCACCCAACUAACCCAACUACCACUUUGACCACCAUUGACUAUCUCUAUAACCACACCACCCACCCACACCACCCACCGGCUAACACCACUACAACCACCAGCGAUGUCGUUGAAGUGUCCAACCAACACCCAGCCACCUCCGGCACCACCCAACCACCGCCGGCACCACCCAACCACCAUCAGAAACCUACUACAACUCCAUAAAAAUAACCGAACCACCAUCGGAAACUUACUCCAACUCCAUUAAAACCACCCAGCCAGCUCCGAGAUACCCAACCACCACCGAAAACCUACUACAACUCCCUCAAAACCACCACGAAACCACCCUUGCCACCACCAAAAAUCUAACUUAUCUACCACAAAACCACCAACCUCCCAUCAAAAAUAAUCCCACCCGUCCCAAAAAUUACUUUAAUCACUUGAAAAUCAUAACUCCUACCAUAAAAACAACACCAAUUACAAAUAAAAGUCUACCAAACUCCAAGAUCUAAGAGUUAAAGAUGAAGGGGAAGAGAGAGAAAAAGAUGCGAAAAGAGAGAAAAGGAGGAGCAGAGGCGGCAGCUAUGGUAGGGAGCAACGUCGGCGGCAGGAUGGUAGCAAAUUGGUGGCGAAGAUGGAUGGACGAUGAUGGAAGAGGAGGAGGAAGGGAGGGUGUACCUGAUUUUAGAUUGAAAGGGAAGAUAGUUUAUGGGUUUCCUUUUAGAAAACAAACAACUUGGUAAAAGAAAGGAAAUUGUUUUCCAUUCUCUCUCUUUCCCUUUCCUAUUGUCAUUCCCUUCACCUUUACGAACCAAAGAAACUUCAUUUCGGAGGAAAAAGGGUUUUAUUUGGGAUGGGACCCAUAAUAAACCAAUCGAAGAAUUGCGUCCUUUACGGAAAGACGUCCCCCUUUUUCGAAUAAAACAGUUAAACAGGCCGUUGGAGGAGGAAAUGCUCAAACUUCGCAGCAACUACAAUGGCGUCCAAGGCCUCAACUAUGGUUUCCGUCAUCUCCUUCUAUACUCAACUUCAACCUCAGCAGAAUGCAACCCUGUUUUUGCGAAUUAUUUGGUCGAUUUUCUAGGGUUUUCUAAGCAACAAGCUCUUUCUACUUGCACUAAGGUCGUCCGCAGUCGCCUAGCUCGAGGUUCGAAAAAGGUCAGUGAUUUUGAAUUCGUUGAAAAUUCUAAUUCCGUUGUCAGUUUUCUCAAACAAACUGGAUUUGAACAAUCUCAUAUUCGAUCUGCCGUAAUUCGCAAUCCUCGAAUUUUGUUCUGUAAUGUUGACAAAACCCUAAUUCCCAAGACCCUAGCUUUUCAGAAAAUGGGGUUUUCUGUAUCCGAUGUUGUUGAGGUUGUCAAGGUGAAUCCUUCAAUAUUUUUUACGGGGACGGAUACCAAAAUUAUUCAGGCAUUUCAAAUUUUGAGGGAGAUUAUGGGUUGUGAUCACCAUGUGAUUUCGAUUAUGAAAUGGCCUAAUAUCUGGCUUUCCUGUGUUUCCAAACUUUUGGUGCCUAAUAUAGCUUUGUUGCGGAAUCAUGGGAUCCCCAUUGAAUCAAUCCGGAAACGCCUACUUAGGGAUCCAUGUUCCUUUCUCCGGAAAACUGAGUUUAUUCAGGAUGCAUUGAUUAGGGUUGAAGAGAAGUUGGGGAUUCCUCGACACUCGCCCCAAUUCUUGUUAGGUGUUAUAUUAUUGACCUCUUUUAAGGAGACGACUAUCGAGUCGAAAAGACAAAUUUUUAAGAGCUUUGGUUGGACUGAGUCUGAUGUUGUAACUCUCACAAUAUUAAGUCCUUUUCUGUUGACGCUUUCUGAAGCUAGCCUCAAGAAAAAGUUGGGAUUUUUAAUGAAUGAGCUGAGUUACGAGCCUAGUUUCUUGGCAAAGAGGUGUGCUUUGUUUACUUGUAGCUUGGAGAAGAGAAUAGUACCGAGACAUAAGACCCUCCUAGUCUUGAAAGAGAAAGGUUUAAUUAAGAUGAAAUACUCUUUUAUGUCUGCCAUAAAGCUGAGUGAGUCUCAGUUCUUGAAGAGGUUUGUGCUACCAUUUACAGAAGUCCAUGAAGUUUAUUCUAAACAUGCAGGUAUUAGUUUGGAGAAGCUAACUGUAGGAUUGUCGAAACCAUAUUCUGAUGAUGCUUGAUGCUAGGUAAGCUUAAUUUAGCAUGCAACAUUUAGUUUAUUGAAUUCAGUAAUUUCACCGUAACAACCACCAGUGUUUUUAUUUGGCUCAUAAUUUCUAAAAGAAUGAUGGAAAAACUGGUUGAUUCUUUUUGUUAAUGUAUCGUUGUUGAAAACUUCUAUUUUGACGGUUCAGAGCUCUAUACUUACUUUAGACUUCGUUCUGUUUUUGGUUUAAUUGACAUUGUGGGAUUGUGCUAUAUAUUAAUAUAAAUAUCACCUGUUGUGCUUGUAUAUGUGAAGAUUGGGCUACUCUGAAAGCUUUCUUUAUUAUGCAUAGCAUAUAUAAAUAUUGUUUCCCUGCUUGCCACAUUACCAUGUUUAUUAAAAUAGUUACUCCGUAGUUGAGACUUUAAGAGUAUUAUUAGAAGAUGCCAGCUUCAUUCUAGGUCUUUGUGGAUUGCUUGUUUGCAUUUUGGUUUAUAGUAUACUUAUUCAUUCUUUUCUCAAUUCUGUCUUACAUAUCUUUUCUUUACACCACACAUUUCACUCCUGGAUUGUACAAUUUAUUACACUCUGCUCUAGCAAUCAGCACAAGCAGACUAGGAAAUGAGUAGGAAAUUUCUGAAGGCAAAGUUUGUAUUUUCAUGAAAAAUCCGCCUUGGUUGGGGGGCUUCUUUUAUACUCCGUACCUUUUACCCUUCCUGGUGUCAAAGGAAAUAUAGUUUGUCCUCAAAUAAUGAGCUGGAGAUGACAAUAGAGUCACUCCAUAAAUAAGAUCACAUUCAUGGAAAUCUUUUUACAUGAUGUUGAUCCAGUAUAAUGAUUGAACAAUUAACUUUAGGACUCUGCAACUCUGGAAGUCUACACCGCAACUUUUACUACACUAGGCUGGUUGUUUAUUUUGUUUAGCUUAUCCAGUUGGCUCAGACUCUUUCUACUUGGGAAUGAUGGCUAAUUGUUAUCCUAUCCCUGGGUAUUAGGUAAGAAACACAGGUAUGAAAUCUGAAAUCUAAUAUGUUCAAGGGUAUUCAUGUGUUCCAAAAUCCCCAGUUUCGGAGACCUUUAUUCUCCAAUGUGUAUAGCUGUGAAUGAAUGGAUGUACCUUCUUCACUAAUGGCCCUUGUCGUCAACAUACCCAUUCUCUUGUAUCUGGAUAUCAAGACUUUGUGUCAUAUAAAGGUUCACACACCUGCAUACUCCUUAUUCCUUAGUCCUACAGAUUUUUUGUGGCUAAUUUGGAGAAGUUGCACCUACACACCUAGUUCCAUCACCCAGUUAGGUGUAUAUUACUUGUUCUCCUAGGUCAGACUUUCUGUCUUUAUACGGUCAUCAGGUCAUGAGUUCAUGACUGUGUCCAUGCCCAAAGAGAUGUGAUGUCCCAAACAGAGUACCUAUACCUCAACCAUUUCCUACCUCAAAAUCUAUGUUAUACGGAAUUGGGUAUUUCUGCCCGAGACCGAUACAUGUCCAAGUAUUUAACUCGGCUAUUUUGUGAAAGGUUUGCAAGGUUUUGGCCCAAAGUGAAGCAUUGAGGUGCCAUAUCUAUGUUGAAGUGUCAGGAUCCCACGAGCACUUAGUGCGAAAUGGAGAGCUGGAGUAACAUAGCUCAUAACUCUUCAAAGGACUUGAUUUGAGAUGCUUGACAGGGGAGAAUGAAAUAUGAUGUUUAUUUAUGCUGCACUGGGAUAUGACUAGUGAUUCGCUUAACGAGGAAGACUAUGCAUCAUUUGAGGAACCUGUGAUUGCGACAAAAUUUAGCUAUCAAUGGGGAAUUUCCGUCACUCGUGAGUAAAAAGAAGGCCAGUGUCAAUACGAGUUUGGAAAUUCUAUAUGUUUUAGUCAGAUACAAAUUUCUUUGUUUGAGUCGGAUAAAUGAACCAGGCAUAAAUUAGUACGGCGAGUGACUCAUGUUUUUUUGGGUUGUCAAUUGAUACAUGGUGAUCACUCACCGGGUGUUGGCGGUUCAAAAAAUGUGCAGGCUAAUGAGUAAUGAGCCGCAUUGUGGAGUUGGACAUAGAAGGUGCUAUAACUUUUCACGGGCUAGGACUCGGGCUUGACUGAAGUAGCUCCAGGCCUGAAUGUUGAUUGGUUUAGGCGUAGUUAAUCGUCAAAAUCACUAAUACUGAUCUUGAAGAUUAAUCGUCAAAAAUUAGUGCAAUGUGUAGAUCUGAGAUCAUUGUAGAUUAAAAAGUUCAAUGUGAUAUUUUUGUCUGCAGAAGCAUAUUCA
Spinacia oleracea (spinach) is the source of this 4370-nucleotide RNA transcript. RefSeq lists it as uncharacterized. The transcript is spliced from 2 exons. The record is from RefSeq and is a predicted model, not a curated record. NCBI's taxonomy places the organism in Eukaryota, Viridiplantae, Streptophyta, Magnoliopsida, Caryophyllales, Amaranthaceae.